ACUCCUGCGGGAGGCAGCAGUGGGGAAUUUUGGACAAUGGGCGAAAGCCUGAUCCAGCAAUGCCGCGUGAGUGAAGAAGGCCUUCGGGUUGUAAAGCUCUUUUGUCAGGGAAGAAACGGUGAAAGCUAAUAUCUUUUGCUAAUGACGGUACCUGAAGAAUAAGCACCGGCUAACUACGUGCCAGCAGCCGCGGUAAUACGUAGGGUGCAAGCGUUAAUCGGAAUUACUGGGCGUAAAGCGUGCGCAGGCGGUUUUGUAAGUCUGAUGUGAAAUCCCCGGGCUCAACCUGGGAAUUGCAUUGGAGACUGCAAGGCUAGAAUCUGGCAGAGGGGGGUAGAAUUCCACGUGUAGCAGUGAAAUGCGUAGAUAUGUGGAGGAACACCGAUGGCGAAGGCAGCCCCCUGGGUCAAGAUUGACGCUCAUGCACGAAAGCGUGGGGAGCAAACAGGAUUAGAAACCCGGGUAGUCCCAUGA
RNAcentral lists this ribosomal RNA (474 nucleotides) under uncultured organism. Its description in RNAcentral is "partial 16S ribosomal RNA". It matches the Rfam family "Bacterial small subunit ribosomal RNA", at positions 335 to 800 of the family's 1533-position model. The record is from RNAcentral.